This 253-nucleotide ribosomal RNA is filed under the name uncultured bacterium. RNAcentral describes it as "partial 16S ribosomal RNA". It matches the Rfam family "Bacterial small subunit ribosomal RNA", at positions 524 to 776 of the family's 1533-position model. The record is from RNAcentral.
CACGGGGGGAGCAAGCGUUGUUCGGAAUCACUGGGCGUAAAGGGCGUGUAGGCGGUUGGGUAAGUGGAAUGUGAAAUGCCCCGGCUCACCCGGGGACCGGCAUUCCAAACUGCUCAGCUCGAGUAUGGGAGAGGAUGAGGGAAUUCCUGGUGUAGCGGUGAAAUGCGUAGAUAUCUGGAGGAACACCGGUGGCGAAGGCGGCAUUCUGGACCGAUAUUGACGCUGAGGAGCGAAAGCCAGGGGAGCAAACGGG